Molecule: ribosomal RNA, 1089 nt
Filed under: Vibrio sp. 8012M
Lineage: Bacteria; Pseudomonadati; Pseudomonadota; Gammaproteobacteria; Vibrionales; Vibrionaceae
Description: bacterial SSU rRNA
Rfam family: Bacterial small subunit ribosomal RNA
Source: RNAcentral
GAUGCGCCAUGCCGCGUGUAUGAAGAAGGCCUUCGGGUUGUAAAGUACUUUCAGUUGUGAGGAAGGGGGUGUCGUUAAUAGCGGCAUCUCUUGACGUUAGCAACAGAAGAAGCACCGGCUAACUCCGUGCCAGCAGCCGCGGUAAUACGGAGGGUGCGAGCGUUAAUCGGAAUUACUGGGCGUAAAGCGCAUGCAGGUGGUUCAUUAAGUCAGAUGUGAAAGCCCGGGGCUCAACCUCGGAACUGCAUUUGAAACUGGUGAACUAGAGUACUGUAGAGGGGGGUAGAAUUUCAGGUGUAGCGGUGAAAUGCGUAGAGAUCUGAAGGAAUACCAGUGGCGAAGGCGGCCCCCUGGACAGAUACUGACACUCAGAUGCGAAAGCGUGGGGAGCAAACAGGAUUAGAUACCCUGGUAGUCCACGCCGUAAACGAUGUCUACUUGGAGGUUGUGGCCUUGAGCCGUGGCUUUCGGAGCUAACGCGUUAAGUAGACCGCCUGGGGAGUACGGUCGCAAGAUUAAAACUCAAAUGAAUUGACGGGGGCCCGCACAAGCGGUGGAGCAUGUGGUUUAAUUCGAUGCAACGCGAAGAACCUUACCUACUCUUGACAUCCAGAGAAGCCAGCGGAGACGCAGGUGUGCCUUCGGGAGCUCUGAGACAGGUGCUGCAUGGCUGUCGUCAGCUCGUGUUGUGAAAUGUUGGGUUAAGUCCCGCAACGAGCGCAACCCUUAUCCUUGUUUGCCAGCGAGUAAUGUCGGGAACUCCAGGGAGACUGCCGGUGAUAAACCGGAGGAAGGUGGGGACGACGUCAAGUCAUCAUGGCCCUUACGAGUAGGGCUACACACGUGCUACAAUGGCGCAUACAGAGGGCGGCGAACUUGCGAGAGUGAGCGAAUCCCAAAAAGUGCGUCGUAGUCCGGAUUGGAGUCUGCAACUCGACUCCAUGAAGUCGGAAUCGCUAGUAAUCGUAGAUCAGAAUGCUACGGUGAAUACGUUCCCGGGCCUUGUACACACCGCCCGUCACACCAUGGGAGUGGGCUGCAAAAGAAGUGGGUAGUUUAACCUUCCGGAGAGGCUCACCCCUUUGUGGU